CUCAGGGACUCACAGUGAAGCUCCAGCAGGUCCCCCACCACAGUGUGGGCCCUGGGAGCCCUGAAGGAGACCUUAGUGGCUGACAGAGAACCUAAACCCUGGCUUGCAACUCGAGGCUGUGUGAAAGGAAUCGGAACUUACUUCUCACGGUGACUCGAAUCCACGUGCUGAGGAUGGGGCUGUGAACGUUAUCAGCUGCACAGUAGUAUCUCCCUGCAUCACUCUCCUUCACGGUGAGAACAUGCAGCUCUGCCAACAGGGAACGCUGGGUCUUUCUACCCAGGCUUCUUACUCUUCCUUCUUUGUGCCAGGAGAAUGUGACAGUCCCUGAACCCUGGGCUACUGAGCAAAUAAGGACCAUAUUUUCUCCUUCAAUCAGCUGCCCUCCGGUGGGCCGGAUCUCUAGAUUCACAUUAGACACAGGGACUCCUGGGGGAACACAAGAUGGCAUGUGAAGGUCCUGAUGGCAGGGACAUCAAGGUCAAGGGGAAGGCUGGAGCUACCAUGAAUAGGCCAAUAGCAGCAGGUGCAGCAGGCAGAAGCCCAAAGUAGGAAAUAAG
Molecule: long non-coding RNA, 560 nt
Filed under: Homo sapiens (human)
Lineage: Eukaryota; Metazoa; Chordata; Mammalia; Primates; Hominidae
Description: HSALNT0016002
Source: RNAcentral